ACGGGAGGCAGCAGUGGGGAAUAUUGCACAAUGGGCGAAAGCGCUGAUGCAGCGACGCCGCGUGAGGGAUGACGGCCUUCGGGUUGUAAACCUCUUUCAGCAGGGACGAAGCGCAAGUGACGGUACCUGCAGAAGAAGCACCGGCUAACUACGUGCCAGCAGCCGCGGUAAUACGUAGGGUGCAAGCGUUGUCCGGAAUUACUGGGCGUAAAGAGUUCGUAGGCGGUUUGUCGCGUCGUUUGUGAAAACCAGCAGCUCAACUGCUGGCUUGCAGGCGAUACGGGCAGACUUGAGUACUGCAGGGGAGACUGGAAUUCCUGGUGUAGCGGUGAAAUGCGCAGAUAUCAGGAGGAACACCGGUGGCGAAGGCGGGUCUCUGGGCAGUAACUGACGCUGAGGAACGAAAGCGUGGGUAGCGAACAGGAUUAGAUACCCUGGUAGUCCACGCCGUAAACGGUGGGCGCUAGGUGUGGGUUCCUUCCACGGAAUCCGUGCCGUAGCUAACGCAUUAAGCGCCCCGCCUGGGGAGUACGGCCGCAAGGCUAAAACUC
This 551-nucleotide ribosomal RNA is filed under the name uncultured Actinomycetes bacterium. Its description in RNAcentral is "bacterial SSU rRNA". It matches the Rfam family "Bacterial small subunit ribosomal RNA", at positions 341 to 902 of the family's 1533-position model. Lineage: Bacteria; Bacillati; Actinomycetota; Actinomycetes. The record is from RNAcentral.